This 2637-nucleotide long non-coding RNA is filed under the name Homo sapiens (human). RNAcentral's name for it is "HSALNT0122004". The record is from RNAcentral. Lineage: Eukaryota; Metazoa; Chordata; Mammalia; Primates; Hominidae.
AGGAGUUCGAGACCAGCCUGGCCAACAUGGUGAAACCUCGUCUCUACUAAAAAUACAAAAACUAGCCGGCUGUGGUGGUACAUGCCUGUAGUCCCAGCUACUUAGGAGGCUGAGGCAGAAGAAUCACUUGGACCUGGGAGGCAGAGGUUGCAAUGAGCUGAGAUCAUGCAACUGGACUCCAGCCUGGGCCACAGAGCAAGACUCCCUCUCCAAAAAAAAACAAAACAAAAAAAGAGUAUACAUCAUGACCAGGUAGACUUUAUUCCUGGAAUAUAAGGAUGGUUCAACAUAUGGAAAUCAAUUAAUGAACUAUACCAGAUUAACAGGAUGAAGGGAAAAAAUCACAUGAUUCUCUCAACCGAUGCAGAAAAGACAUCUGACAAUAUCCGACAUCCUUUCAUAAUAAAACCACUCAGAAAACAAGGAAUACAGGUAACUCUCUCAACAUGAUAAAGGCCAUGUAUGAAAAAAAAUGUCCAGGUGUGGUGGCUCAUGCCUGUAAUCUCAGCACUUUGGGAGGCUGAGGCGGGUAGAUCACUUGAGGUCAGGAGUUAAGAGACCAGCCUGGCCAACAUGGUGAUACCCCAUCUCUACUAAAAAUACAAAAAAUUAGCCAGGCGUGGUUGCACACGCCUGUAAUCCCAUCUACUCGGGAGGCUGAGACAGGAGAAUCACUUGAACUCAGGAGGCAGAGGUUGCAGUCAGCUGAGAUUGUGCCAUUGCACUCCAGCCUGGGCGACAGAGUGAGAUUUCGUCUCAAAAACAAAAACAACCAAAAAACCCCACAGUUUAUAUCAUCCUCAGUGACAGAAGGCUGGCAGGCUCAAUGAUUCAUGCUCAUAAUCCCACUGCUUUGGGAGGCCAAUGUGGUAGAAUCACUGGAGCCCAGGAGUUCAAGAGAAGCCUGGGCAACAUUACAAGACACUGUCAAAGCAAGGUCAAAUCAAGGGUCAAAGCAAGGUCAAAGGAAGGAGGGAAUGCUCAAUCUCUUUUCCUGAGCUAGGGGUUGGGUUGGGUUUUAUAAGCACAGGGUAAUAAUGAGGCAUGAUCUAAUUGGAUCUCACAAUGAGGUGAUGCUGGAAGGUAAUAUCUGACUGGAUCCUGCCGUGGGGUGAUGCCAGAGCUUGAUCUGAUUGGAUCCUGGAUCCUGCCAUGUGGUGUGUGGUGUCCGAUGUUUUGUUUUUUAACUUUGUUUUUUGUUUUUUUGAGACAGAGUCUCGCUUUGUCACCCAAACUGGAGUGCAGUGGAGCGAUCUCAGCCUACUGCAAACUCUGCCUCCCAAGUUCAAGCAAUUCUCCUGCCUCAGCCUCCUGAGUAGCUGGGAUUACAGGCAUGGACCACCACACCUGGCUUUUUUUUUUUUUUUCCUUUUUUGGUAGAGACAGGGUUUCACCAAGUUGGGCAGGCUGGUCUCAAACUCCUGACCUCAAGUGAUCCGCCCACCUCGGCCUCCCAAAAGGCUGGGAUUACAGGCAUGAGCUACCAUGCCUGGCCUUGUUUUUUAACUUUUAUUUUACAUUAAGUUGUACAUAUGCAGGUUUGUUAUAUAGGUAAACUUGUGUCACGGGGGUUUGUUGUACAGAUUAUUUUCUCGCCCAGGUACUAAGUCUAGUACCCAAUAGUUAUUUUUCCUGCUCCUCUCCCUCCUCCCACCCUCCACUGGGUUCCAGCAUCUGUCGUUCCCCUCUUAGUGCCUAUGAGUUCUCAUCAUUUAGUGAGAGAAUAUAAGUGAGAAUAUGUGGUAUUUUGUUUUCUGUUCCUGCGUUAGUUUGCUAAGGAUAAUGGCCUCCAGCUCCAUCCAUGUUCCUGCAAAGGACAUAAUCACAUGUCUUUUUUUAUGUCUGAAUAGUAUUCCAUGACAUAUAUGUACAUUUUCUUUAUCCAAUCUGUCAUUGAUGGGCAUUUAGGUUGAUUCCAUGUCUUUACUAUUGUGAAUAGUGCUGCAAUGAACAGACGUGUGCAUGUGUCCUUAUGGCAGAACAACUUACAUUCCUUUGGGUAUAUACCCAGUAAUGGGAUUGCUGGGUCGAAUGGUAGUUCUGCCUUUAGGUCUCUGAGGAAUUGCCACGCUGCUUUCCACAAUGGUUGACCUAAUUUACACUCCCACCAACACUGUACAAGUGUUCCCUUUUCUCUAUGACCUUGCCAGCAUGUUAUUUUUUCUUUUUUUUACUUUUUAAUAAUAGCCAUUCUGGCUGAUGUGAGAUGGUAUCUCAUUGUGGUUUUGAUUUCUGUUUCUUUAAUGAUCAGUGAUAUUGAGUUUUUUUUCAAAUGUUUGUUGGUUGCAUGUAUGUCUUCUUUCGAAAAGUGUCUAGGAAUGAGAUACUGUCACCACUUCUAUUCAACAUAGUGUUAAAAGUUCUAACCAGAGCAAUUUGGCAAAAAUGAAAUGAAAAGAAAAGAGAAAAGAGAGAAAGAGAGAGAGAGAAAGAGAGGGAGAGAGGGAGGGAGGGAAAAGGGAAGGGGAAGGGAAAGGGGAAGGGGAGGGAGGAAGGAAAAGAGUGUCCAAAUUAGAAAAAAAUUAAACUUAUCUCUAUUUGCAGAUAGAUUUUAUAUUCUAAAACAGUAAAUACGCCACUGAAAAUGUAUUAUAACUUGUCUGAGUGUGGUGGAGCAUGCCUAUAAUCCCAGCACUU